Molecule: long non-coding RNA, 13236 nt
Organism: Gallus gallus (chicken)
Lineage: Eukaryota; Metazoa; Chordata; Aves; Galliformes; Phasianidae
Source: Ensembl
CCGCCCGGCGCGGGGCGCGGAGCGCUGCCGAGGGUCUGCGCUCGGCGCGGCGCUCCGCCCGCGGUCCUCCCGCCCUCCCGGCCGCGGCUCCGGCUUCGGCUCCCGCACGGAGGCUCCCGGGGCGCGCCGCUCUAACGUGAAUCCGCGGCGGGAGCCGCUGGGCUGCGGGCUGCUCCCUUUGAAACGGCGGCUCCCGCUGUCGGCGUGCGCGUGGCGGCGGGGCACGGCCGCACACACCGAGCGCUGCCCGCGGCCCCUCCGCGCCUCCGGCUGCGGGCUCACGGCGGAGCGCUACCCACGGCCACGCACGCACACGCCGUCGGCCUCAGUUCGAGAGCGGCGAUAGAUGGGUGGCCUCGUGCCGAGGCACCGCGCGGCGCUAGCCCGGCCAGAUGCUUCCUCCCGUCCGACAGCGGUGCCGCCGAGGCAUCGGCUGCGGCGCAAGGCUCUCCCGAGCCAGGUGUGAGAGAGGCAAAGCCCCAUUGAAGACAAUGACAGUAGUUCUGUGCUGCAUGGGGAGUUAAACACCGAGCACUGCAGCAGCGUUCGUUUGGAGCAGUGUGUUUCUUAGAGCCGGGAAGGUCUGAGUGGAGGCAAAUGCAAACAGGAGCCUGCCCUUAGCCCACUGAAAGAGUUCACUGACCUCUCGUCUGCUGCACUGAAGCCUGCAGGAACCCUGGCAUAACUGACUGAAGGUCACUGUCCAUUCCUAUCCGCAUCGAUGCAGACUAGGGCUUUGGAGUGGUUGGAAAAGUAAACCAUAUCUUAGGUGCUAGAGGAGAUCAAACCUCAACAUGGACUCCUGAUGUUUUAUUUUGAUUUUCAAUACAGUUUCCUUUAUUCUGUGCUUGAUACCAGACUGAAGACUGAUUUUAGCAAUGUUUCCAAUUGCUUGUUUAUACUAAUGUCACACUGAGAUAUCCAGUGACUAACCACUGUGAAUCUUUGUCAGACAGCAGGAUGUCACCGAGUGGAAGCAGGAACAGGUGUUCUGGGAGGAGUAUAGGGAUGCUUCUGGGCUGUGUAGGGAUGGGAUCAGACAGGUCAAGACCCAGCUGGAACUGGACUUUAGCAAAGAACAAGAAAGGCUUGUUCAGUUCAGAAGGUUAGAACUGGGGGAGCAGUGCCCCUCCCACUGUAAGCAAAGAUCAGGUUCUCUGACACCCGAGAAACCUGAACAUCUGUAAGUCUAUGGGUCCCCAUGAGAUGCAUCCCAGAGUCCUGAGGGAAUUGGCUUGAUGAUAUUUGAAGAGUAAUGGCAGGCAGGUGAAGUUCCUGAUGGCUGGAAAAAAGGCAAUGUCGCACCCAUUUUUAAGGAUAGAAAGGACAACCAAGGGAACUGCCGACCUGUCAGCCUCACCUCUGUGCUAGGGAAGAUCAUGGAGCAGAUCCUCCUGAAAGCUAUGCUAAGGAACAUGGAGGAGAGGGGUCUUCAUUUCAGCUGGGGUGGAACUGUUUUCCUCAGAGUGCCGCCAUGAUGCUGUUUUGGUUCUAGGAGAGAAACAACGUUGGUAACACACCGAUGUUCACAGCUGCUGCUAAGCAGUGUUGGACAGAGCCAAGGCUGUUCUCAGCAAAGGGCCCAAGGAGCUGGGAGGGAACAGAGUGAGGACAGCUGACUUAAACUGGCCAAAGGGAUAUUCUAUAUGUCAUAAUUAUUAUCUUUUUCAUUACCUCAGUAAAUAGUUUUAUCUCAAUCCAUGAGUUGUACUUUGUGUUUUUUCCUGAUUCUCCCCCUCAUUCCACUGGGAAGAUGGGGACUGGGCAACUGACUGUGCAGUGCUCAGCCACCUGCCAGGUUAAACCACAAGAGGGAGGUGAUGUGGGAUAACCAGCAGAGCUUCCCCAAGGGCAGGUCCUGCCUCACAGGAGGAGUCAGGGAGGUGAUCCUGCCCCUCUGCUCUGCACUGUGAGGCCUCACCUGGAGCACCGCAUCCAGACAUGGAGCCUUCAGUACAGGAGAGACAUGGAGCUUUCAGAGCAUGUCCAGAGGAGGGCCACAAAAAUGAUCCCAGGAUGAAACACCUCUCCUACAGGACAGGCUGAGAGAGCUGGGGCUGUGCAGCAUGGAGAAGGGAGGGCUGCAGGGAGAGCUGAGAGCGGCCUGUCAGUAUCUAAAGGUGAGCUGUAAGGAGAGAACAGUCUCUUUAGCAGGGUCUGUUAGGAGAGGACAAGGGGAAAUAGUUUCAUAAAAGAGGGGAGAUUUAGAUUGGAUAUAAGAAGGAAGUUUUUUACAAUAGGAGUGCUGAGGCACUGGCACAGGUUGCCCAGAGAUGUUGUGGUGGCCCUGUCCUGGACAUAUUCAAGGUCAGGCUGGAUGUGGCUCUGAGCACCCGAUAGAGCUGGGUGUCCCCGUUCAUCACGGGGGAGUUGGACCAGAUGGCCCUUUAAGGUCCCUUCCUACUCAAAAGAAUCUGUGAUUCUAAUACAAGCAAAUACAAAAGCUGUGCUUGACAUUUCAGAGGAAUCCAGCUGAUCUAGGACUAUAAACUCCACUGAUUUGCAGUGAUUUUUACAUUCCUGAGUCACGUCAGGUACACUUGAAAGGUCUGUUUUGUACAUUUCCUCACAGUAGUUCAUGUUUGUGAAGGCAUUAACUCUGAAUUCAUGGAGCUGAUGUCAGUCUUAAGCUAGUUAAGUUACUUAAACCUGAUUUACAUUCAGCCACUUUCCUAGUCAAAAGGAACACAGACAGAUAAGCCACCUCUCAUGAUUUCUUCAUGGUAAGGCUUUGCUAGGAGUGAGAUAGAAAGAUGAGAGCUCUUCUUACAGACAGCAUCACAAAAUAUACACAAAUUUUGCAAGUGCACUUGAAACAUAUUUUAUCACUGCUUGCUGCUCUCUGCUGCAUGCCUAUAUCUUAAACUAAAGAUCUAACAAAGCAUGCUUCCUUCUGUCCCACAGAUAUGCUUUCCCUGCAGAGGAGCUGGGAGCAGUUGCUUUGGUUGGGCUUUGAGUAAGAAGUGCUGACACAAAGCCAUGCUGCUUACAGUGCUGUAUGCUCACCUGGAACUCCCAAAGUCCUCAGCUGGUGCCCAGCACAGCAGCCUGUCCCUGUCCCGCUCCUUCCAAGUCAUUGUGAAAUGCAAGGAGUAAACAUUCCGAGCUCUUAGCCUGCAUCACACCUCUACCAGCACUGACAGCAAGCAGCAUUCAGGCUUAGCACUUAGACCUGGUGAUGGGACAGGGCUGCCAGGUGUAAAUUACUAACACAUACCUCAAGGUUUAUGUAUUUGCAGCUAGGAAUUCAAAGAAGAGCAAUCUCCGAGUUAAUAGUGAAGUGAGGAUGAACUCAGAGCGAGAGCAGGCAGCUUAUUACAGAAAACCACCCAUGACAAAACAGCAGUAAGAGAUGUGAAAACCACACAUCUCUUCUGCCACCAAAACCUCAGUGCAGUACUUCUCUCAAAGCCCAGUCAAUAAAUACCCACUUUAUUAGGCAGGGGGAGUCUAAAGGCUUCUCAACACAGAAACUCCUCUGGUUUACUGUGAGCUGGCAAAGCUUGGCUAACUAAAGCAGUAAAAAGUCCUCUUUAAACAUUUGCAGACCCUAAGAAAUCCUUCAGUAAAGGCACCUAAAAAGAAGUUCUACUACUGAGCAUAAAAAAAAAAAAAAAAAGUGUAUUUACUUUGUUUCCUAAGGAUAAGCUCCCUGUUCCCUUGAGUAGGUUGAAAUAAACCACUUACUGUGUUCAUUCCAAUGUGGAUUUUUCCCUGUUGCUCUGGCUGAUUAGGACAAGUGGGCACGCCAUGCUCUCAUUCACAUUGGUGGUAUGGAUGGGAGCUUGUAGCAUACACCAAGUAAAGACUGAGGAGUCACGAGCCAUAGGAUUUAGCAGUUGCCUUGUCGUAUCAGUGCUCAGACCUACAGCAAAGUGUAGAGCGGGAGCUUAUAGACUUAUUUUGCACCUCCACUGCUGUUAGCAGCUGCAGUAGCUGUUCCCAACCAUACACACAUGCACAGAGUGGGAGUACAGACUGCUGUACCAUAACUGCAGAUGGUAAACUGCAACGUCUGUCAUGACCUUGAAAUGCUGGGAAAGAUCCUAGCUGAGCUCUCAAAGUACAGGAAUGCCAACAAGUUGGAGGCUGGGACCGCAGCCUAAGCAUCUAUAGUUUCUAGGGUAUUAACCUGCCUGAGGGAGGGGUAGUGGGCCCACAGGGAAGGCACAAGAUGUCAGCUGCUCCUUAUUCAAACUCCUUUUUUUUUCCUACUUGCAUCACAACAGCUGCCAGACGAUGCUGUCUGGGAUUGAUGAAAAGGACAGGCUUAUUUGUUGGUGGCAUAUUAUUAGCAUUGUUACCCAUUGCUAUAUGGGGAUUAAAUAAAUGCAAGGGGAGCUUGGUUUCAACGAGAUUUUACAUCCCUCAGCCUCUGUCUGACGCAGCAGCUGUCCGCUGUGACAUGCCUGUUAGCAGCAAGCAAGUGCCAGCCUUUCAGCUUUGCUCUGCAAAACCCUCAAAGCUCAAAUGGGACACAACCUCUGGAUUGCUGGGAGGGAUAUGAGUGUCACAUAUCUGGAAACACGAGGACGGUGGUCCCGUCCUGGAAGGAAGUCAGUGCAGCCAGCAAAGUUUCUGCAUAUCGACCCUGUCUGCAUCCAGAACAGGUGUCCAGGCAGUCAGAAAAUGGGGCUGGCAUCAUUUCAGCCUGGGUGGCUCAGCAGCCUUCAGCAGUGACCUGGAGUUUUGCUCUUGGCCAAACUGGCUGGUGUGCAGUUUUUACGUGCACAUAUAAAUGGCACGUGAACACAUGCACUGUUUCUUAAUGUUCUGUACCACCCAUUCCUUGAUCCUUAUACAAAAACUGACCGCUUAGUUUGGGAACAGUAAUUCCAAAACAAACAUACUUAUAGGAUUCUGACCUGAGAUCUCUGUGUGAUCCUCCAGGGAGACAGCUAAUUGGAACAGUCAUUCAUCCUUCUGUGCUGCUGUGGUGAUGUUACUGGUGAGCAGACUCAGAGGGAUGCUGAAGUUCAGGGGAGCUAAGAGACACACACAAGUGUAACUAACCACUUUCCCCUUUAAGUCCCAAAUUAAGAAGCUAUGAAUGAAGACAGUAAACUGAAAGCUAUACAAUAAGCUGGCUACAUAGCAAUUGUAUGCUCACAGAUACUCAGUUAAAUGGGAAAUGUGUGCGAUUCAGCUCUUUGAAAGCUUUCAGACGAAGUCAACCACCUGAAAAGUACCAGGAUUUUGAAGUAUACUGCUUAAUGGAUUAAAAAAAAAAAAAAGGGAAAGGAAAGAAAUUGACUGGCAAAGCAGACCUGCAGACAAUCACAGUCCACAGAAUCAGCUUUCAGUUACGCCUCUUCCCCGCAGCGCAGCAGAGGAGCUGUGGACUUGACAAACAGAAGUCAGAAUGUUUUCCAAAUGACAAAAAGCUGCUGGCUUAAAAACCCCUUAUUGUGGGAAAAAAAAAAUAGACUGUGCAGAAAUAAUAAUAAUAACAAUCUUCAUUUUGUAAUAUUAGGAGCACCACACAUUGAGGUCAGCAGGAAAGGGAAUGGGAAGAAGCUGCAUGCCAGCUGCUCCAUGCAGAACCUUGUCCUAGAUUCGAUUCCUUGGCACAGACAGCUCCAGUUACCUGCUUCCUCCUCUGUCACUGCAAUUCAUUCUAUUUUGAAGUGUUUGCUGCAGUAAAAUCUCCUGCCUCACUGUCCCAUGUCAAGAGGAAGAAAGCUUUGUACCCACAGCCAUGCACAGGCAGAGCUGCAGGAGAGAGCGCCAUGUCGCUCCGUUGCUCACUGUACUGCUUUUCAACCACUGGAUGAUGCUGGAUGGAAACAGGAGCAAUUCCAAGGCAGUACAAUGGGAUGUAAGCAGGAAGAGACAGCCCUGCCAAUUUCUGUAUGUUUGAAAGAAAAGCAGAGCAUGUGCACUCUGCUGUUGGAAGCCCAACAACUUAUUAGCAGUAAAAUAUACAUUGGAAAAAAAGAAAGUGACUGCCAGUUAAUUUACCACGUAUUAACCUCUUCUCCUAAAGCACUUACUGUACAACUGUUCAAACAAUUGGAGUUUAAAUGUUGCUGAGGCCUCUUCUUUUAAUUAGCCUUUGUAUGUCUCUUCUUCUUCCUCCAGUCUGCCUCCUCACUUCCUUGCACUGCAGUGGGGAUUAAAAUCCUUGUGACAGAGGCUGCCUUGUCCGAGGCUUUGUCACAGACCGUGCAGUGCCUGCACUAACGAUGAGAUGUCAGUGCCAUCUUUCCCAGGAGAAGUGGAUGUGCAAGAACUGCACUCUGUGAUGAAAACCCAACUCUAAUGUUGCUUUCCUUAAUUGAAAGAGUAUUAAUCCGUUGCGAAAUGAAAUGAUGUCUGCUGGUUGGGAAAGGAGUUAUGGAAGUAUUGUUAAAAAUGGAAAAAGCUGAACUUAGGAGGCUGUGGAACGCUUUUCAAGGAAAAUGACUUCUUAGAAUUGAGCUUCCUAGAUUUGAUGGGAGUUGUCAUCAAAAGGCUACAAGGCAGAAGAUCAUGUUCUCUAACGCUGAUGGAAACGGAUACAUGCCCAGCUGUGUUUGCCAUGGGAACUGUGCAAGACAGACCUUAAGCACUUCCCAACAGUAUGUAAGGGACUCUUGGGGAACAAGCCUGACCUUAAGGGAAAGGUAUGCUAAGGAAGAGAAGGAGAAAUAUUUCUCCUUCUAGCGAGAAAAUUAAAGCUUUCCACGUAUCUGUCACUUUGGUAACCUCCUGGAAGACAACUCCUGGGAGUGCUGAGAUAAGAAUCUCUGAACAGAAAUGUGCACUGCUGAUACUACUCUUACAAUGGAAAUGGCCUUAAAAUGAGUUCACAUCGGCUUGAUGUUGUUUGAAAUAAAAGUAUUACUCUUUCCAGUCAGUGCUUGGCAGUGUAGUGAAAUUUAUUAGAACAGUUUCCAGUGCGGAUACUCUUCUAUAAAAAAAAAUGAUUUGCUUUGGAGUAAUCAGUUUGCUUCAAAUACAAAUGCAGAGUAGUUUGCUUUGAUGUAAACCUCUCCCCACAGCUAUUUCUCUAGACUGGUGUCCAGACAGGAAGGACAUCCUGGCAUUCUUCUUGUGGUCAUUCACUACCUCUACACAGAAGCUGUUAGCUUAUUUAGGAAGUGGAAGAGAUUGCAGGAGUGCUCCAUUUUUAGGGAGAACCACUUUAUGAAUAAUGUGUGUCUUCUGUGUGAGAGUCUGGGGCUGUGUCAGGGCUAUACCACUGUAUCAUUUCAGCAGAGACACCGACAGUUGGCUACAUGUAUGCUUUAUUCAUCUUUGAAAUGCAAAACAACGGGAAAAAUUAGGGCUGUUGAGAAGCAAAAGCCACGUUGGGUAAUUGCAGCACACUGGAGCGUUUUUAAUCCAGCGUUUCCUCUGCUCCUGCUGCUGGUUUGCCAGGCUAACAGUGCACUUCUUCAUCAGGGAAGAGCCAUGGGGAGCACGGUGUUUUCUCUUAGUCUGAGAUACAAAACCAGAAAUCAUAAACAGAUUUUGUACACUGGAGCAAAAGCUUUAACAAGGCACGACAAGUGCACUUGCCUAUGGCUUCCCUUGGAGGAAUACAGGAACCCUUCUGAUGAGUGCUGGUGCCACCUCUGCAAAGAAUCUGAAUGUUCUCAGUGAAGGAGAAACCAGAAGAGGUUGUGAAUGUCUUGUUCUUUGGGUAAUCCAGACAAACAUGCUGGGAAACAUUCCACGCCAUGCCUGGAAGCAACUGAAAUCUUGGAGAAGGUUUUGUGCUGGUUUUAUAGAAGCCUAAAUGAGUUGUGGUUAGUACUUCACUCUUAGCUUGAAGGAGCAAGCAAUUGCCAGCUGAUACGGUCAAGCCUUUGUGUAGUGUUUGUUUCCACUGAGCUGGCAAGAGCUCCUUUAAAUAACUACGUGCAGUUUAUUUCAAAAGAGUAAAGAGUUCCAUAUGAAAAAGUCUAGAAACCACACAAGAAUGCAAAUGUAUCAAGAUGCUUUCAUUUGGAUAAACAUGAAAUUCCCAUCAGCAGAGAAAGAAAAGUGUGCCAUGUUUUGCUGCCACUGCUUUUUAUGCAGCCAUGCGAAAACCGUGCAGUAUCUUGGUAGAAUCCAGGCCCUCCAUUGUCUGCACCAAGCACACAAGGUCACAGCUGACACACGGCUCCAAACAACGUGCCAAGUGGGCACGCUCCAGCAGCACAGCCGUGUCAGCAGCUGUGUGCCCCAUGCUGGCAGUGCCAGCACCUCCAACGAGGAUGCUCAGCUCUGGAAGAGAACACCCAGCGGUACACAUGCUCCAGCAGCACAGCAACAGCAAAUGGAGAUCAGCAAAGCAUCUGAUGGUGAUGCCUCUUAGCGUGGAUGCAGUCUCUGCGCUGACAGUGGUGGUUACAGCGCAGGAAUCCCACCUUUACUCACACUUGUGUGGGUGUGCUGGGAGCCCGGGCAGAUGAGUCACUCUGGUAGGACAGCAGCAUUCAGCAAUGUUCGGAGGUGAUUUGAUAGCGAUGGCGCUGAGAACAGCUGUGGAAGGCUGGUUUGCAGGCAGGCCAGCAGCAGUUGGAGGGUAGCAUGCGUGUGUUGUCCAGCAGUGCUCUCUGGCAGCAGCUGCAGGAGGAACACAUCAUCUUUUCUGGCACCUCGUGCUGCUGGACUGAAAGAUGUUGCGGCAGGGGAGAUCAAAAUGGGAAAAGCAAGAAUCUUCUUUCAUUCUGUCUCCUCCCUGGUCCCUCAGGACUCUUUUCAUCAAAGAACUGCCCUUCUGGGAAAGGGUUUGGUGCAACCAUAACUAUCCCCCUAAGAAUGAUAGCCCCAGAAGUCUAAGAUACAUGGCCGUUUGUUUCUGGGGAAAUGCAAUUCAGACACAACUUUUGUGGCAUUCCCAAGGAAUGAGAUGGCAACGCGAAGAAGGAAAAUAGACAAUAUGUGCAGAGGUGUUCUGGGGACCAGCCUAAAUGAGAAGAACUUGAGCAUGAUGUGUGCCACUCUCCCUGGACAAAGGUGAGGAUGUUGAUGCUCUCCAAUGCAUUUCUUUUCUCUCAGUGCUUAUGGACCAGAGAGCUACACAUUAAACUGUAAAAAGAUCUUGCUGUAGAUCCACGUACUAACAAUUCUCAGCAGAAAACUUCACCAUAUACAAUUUUUAAUUAAAAAAAAAAAAAAAAAAAGAAGUAACACGCAUAUUGGAAUGUCCUGAAUGUCUUGAAAUGGGAGUGCACAACCAGUAACAAGAGAUCAAGACGGCUGUUUUCUGAACUGGGUUCACAAAGACAUUUGUUCAUGAGAAAUGAAAUCUAUUCUCAGUGGCUUAUGACCGCGGCUAAUGGGUGAUGAUCACAGUAACAGACCAGAAAGUAUCAUAUUGAGAAAAGCAUCGGAACUGAAGUCAUAUCACAAGGUUCUGUCAGGUCCUGUGUGACUCCCUGUGCUCUGUGGUGUGCUCGAUAAUCACCGGACCUUAUGUUCUUAAGUUUACCAACGCAGGACAAAUUUUAAGAACUUUGGGCUGUGAGACAAGAUCUGUACUGAUAAUGCUUAGCCUGAACCAUCUACAUCCCAGAAUUCAUGCUGUUUUGCCAUAGACCUACGUGAAGCCCAAGCCCUGCGCUCCUUGCGCUCCAGCAGCUUCAUGGACAGAAAACGCAGACACGUGCACACAUGUGGCUUUGCUUUAGAUACUUCCAUAUCCAGUUUUGACCAUAUUUUGCUCAAAUUUACUUUGUUCUUCUCACAGACGCUAUCAUGGGAGAGAAUAAAGGGCAGGUUAGUUAUUAUUUAAUGUUUUCCUCAAAAGAACAACUACUUUGCUUUCUAAACAGACAAAGCUGUUAUUGCAGCAAAAAUAAUGUCACACAAACCAGCCUGGUCAGCUGUGAGCCCAUGGCAUCUUCGAGUUGGCAACUGAUGCAACUCAUCAAGAAAGGCAUAACGGAAGAUUCUCAUUUCUGUGAACUACCCUGAUCUUUCCAGUAUGACAAACUAAACCUUUGGACUAAAACACCCUUUGAUUCAGCAUUCUUGGAGACAAAUCUGUUCUUCAUGAAAUGCAACAAGCUUGUUUCCCCUUUAACCUUUUUAUAUUAUCAUACUAAUUGUCUUUUUUUUUUUUUCCUGAAUAAGAAAAUGAAGCCAUCUCAAAUUAACAGACCUUCAUAAUACAGCAAAAAAGAGAAAGGAAUACAUCUUUCUGUUGAGCAGCCGAGCAGUCGUACAGCCUCAGCGUAUUUAUUUUUUAUUCUUCUUCUUUAGAUUCCUGCCAUCUUUUGACCUUGUCCUAAUCUCUCUUGAACUCAACCUUUAAAAAGAACAGAGAGUUCUGUUUAGCUAUCUGGAGUUUUGCAUCACUACUCAUUUUUUAGCAGUGCAUCCUGUUGAUAUACCAUGAGUCAGUUGGUUUUCCAUCUGAAUAUUUUUGAUAUUUUCUUAGCAGCUCAUCUAACAUCAGACACUGGGUCUAAAAAUCACUGAGAUCAAACUUGAGUUGUUGCUCAUUUUCAACGGGUUUUGUAUUUGAUUAACAUUAAAAACCCUCUGGCCAUAGACCUCAAAUAAAUACCCCCUGCUGAUAUUAGCAGUAAAUGCAUAUAAUUUUAAUCAAGAUAAAAGUUAUUCUUGGGGAAGCUGGACAUUGAACACUGCAUCAACUGCUCAUAGUACUGCAUCUUUGGGCCCUUAAGCUUUCCUCAUUUUUUGCACGUUGCAGCACCAGCCUCUUCCUUACACUCUGUUGAGCACCAUGGGCACAAACUUUCCCUUACUGUCAGAGCAGGACCCCGCUGCCUUGCUGGUGGUGUGGUGCUCUGGUAUCCAAAGGGCUGUAUUGGCCAGGAGUCCAACCAUGUGAACACUUCGGGUUUUCUGUCAAUCUCUCCAAGAACAGGUGCCCAUCAUUUCAGUUUUCAAAACACCACUGCAUUCACCUGUUUAAUUCUGCACACCCAAUUUGUCUCUAGUUGCUUGCUUUCACUUAUACAUGUCUACUUCCUUCCUCCUGUUCUGUAUUCCCAGGUUUUGAAGGGCUCUGAUGGAAGUCAGUAUUGCAUCUCUGAGUAACAGAAACUUCUCCUUUUAAUCUGUGCCACCAGUUUCCUUGUGAUUUUGCUUUUGGAUGUUGUGUUGAGGGACGUGGUUUAGCGAGAACCAUUGGUGAUGGGCGAAUGGUUGGACUGGAUGAUCCUGUGGGUCUUUUCCAGCCUUAGUGAUUCUAUGAUUCUAUGAUUUCCAUCACAGACACGUAACACUUGCAUCUGUUCACUUCUGCAUGGAAUUGUUGUAUUUGUAAGUAAUUUUUUUCUAUUCCGUCAUGGUUUUGAUUCCCAGAUAACAUUCCAGUCUCACUUCCUUGUUGGGAUGCUAUCAGCUCACCAAACUCCAUCCUCUAGGUUGUGUUUCCUCCGUUCUGACAUCUGACUGCUUUAGUUCAGCCUCCAUCAUUCCUUGCACCCUUUGCAGUGAGGCUGGCCUUUUAGCAGCAUUCUGAUGGAUGGAAUAUGACUUGCAUUUCACUCUUGAUGCAAUUUAGGAGACAGCAGUUUGAGACACUGGCAAACUUGGCAAUAAAAUGCCAAUUAGCUUUGACUUAACACAGUGUAAUAAUGCAGUGCUUGAAAUGCCCAAUAUUCUCCUAACUAUUCUCUUUCCUGUUAUUGAAUUGCAUCCAUUUAGACCCAUUAUGUCCUCUUGAUAAAGAGAUUAUGCAGUCCAUUCCCUCUGUGCUUACUCCAUGGUUCUCAGGGGGGAUUUCACAGGCUCUUCUGAGCUCCACUCUUUCAUAACCAGAUGCUCUGACAUGAGAACCAGCUCAUUUACAGCAAACUCGGAUGUAUCCAUCCUCCAAGCAUACAACAGAAUGAAUCUGAGGCAUAGUCUACUGACAAAAACAAGUUACAACAAGGGAAAUUCAAACUGAGUAUUAGGAAAAGAUAAAAAUGAGCAUGGUGAUAUACUGGGACAGGCAGCCCCAGAGUGGUUGUGGAGUCACCACCCUUGGAGGUGCACAAAACUUGACCGAAUUGGCCCCAAGCAAACACAUCUAAGUUUGAGGUUGGUCCUGCUUUAGGCAGGGGUUUGGGCUGGAUGACCUCCUGAGGUUCUUGCCAACAUAAAUGAUAGGAUUCUAUUGUAAAAAUAGUGUAAAUCCAACAUGAAGACAGAUGUGAUAUGAAUAUAUUCCUUAUUUGCCUGCCUCAACUAAAAUACCCAUUGAGUGGGAGAGAUUAGAUAGACAUCUAAUUUAGGCAUGUGAAUCAACCUCUGAAGUUUCUAUUUUAACUGUACCAUAAACUUGGGUGUCUGAGCACAGAUGCUGCCGACUGCUGCUGAGAUACAUCAACAGCCUAAAGCAGAUGGGAAAAACACUCCAAUCUUUCCCCUUACUGGGCAGUCGUAUUUCAAACUAUAUCUAUAACAACAUUAUAUUAGAAUUGUACCUGAUAUGACAGCCUUAAGUUCAACCGUAAUCAAGCCCCAGAAUAUGGACUAUGAAAAAGGCCAUUCAGGAGUCACAGGAUACUUAAGAGCAUGGCUAUUCUCUUCCUAAAUUCAGGCAAAAUAAAAUCCUUCUUCUUGUUAUUACAUCUCCACAGAUAAAACAGUCCAUGCAAAGCUACACACGCUUUGACUGCAGUGCCCCACUUCUAUGGACUGCCUCUAUCUCUACAAAGCAGUUUGUAUAUCACCCAGCCAUUUCUCUGAUGAAGGAGGAAAGAAAAUACAGAAAUGAGGCAUGAGAAGAUGAAGCUCAUGCAGCCUGGGAGGGCUUCGUGCUCACUGAAGCACAGCGCUCUACAGAGCCUUGAACAAAUCCCUGUAUUUUCUUACACUACAUCUCUUUUGAAAGCAAAUAUUUCCAAAGAUCAAAAUGGAAGUAAUUUCUCAUUUUCAAGUUGCAAAUUAUUUGUGUGAAUGAAGAAAAUAUGGCUUCACCUUGUCAUCCUAGAUGAUAGGGGACAUUAUCUGCAUUACAGAAAGGAUCUCAGAAACGUACAGAUUAAGCUGGGAACUAUUAUCAAAUUCCAUCAGUCUCGAGUUACAGUCCUGAUGUGAUUUAUACAAAGUCCCAAAGGUGUCAUCAGUGGAACCUCAGCCACCUGACAGGUGCUGCUCACAUAAGUAAUACCGAAGAAGGAAGAUAUUAAGACACACUGAAACUACGUAAAUAACACCUGUGCUACCAUUCUCUUGGAGUACCAAAACUUCAGUGUCUGAAGAAAUUCCAGGAGUAUGGGUUAUAAUUAAUUCCUCUUUCCUUUUUUUUUUUUGGUCUGAAUAAAGUCAGAAUUGUUGGGAAAGGUGGUAAGCAAGAAC